RNAcentral lists this ribosomal RNA (468 nucleotides) under uncultured bacterium. RNAcentral describes it as "partial 16S ribosomal RNA". It matches the Rfam family "Bacterial small subunit ribosomal RNA", at positions 28 to 507 of the family's 1533-position model. The record is from RNAcentral.
GACGAACGCUGGCGGCGUGCUUAACACAUGCAAGUCGAACGGAAAGGCCCUGCUUUUGUGGGGUGCUCGAGUGGCGAACGGGUGAGUAACACGUGAGUAACCUGCCCUUGACUGUGGGAUAAUUUAAGGAAACUGGGGCUAAUACCGGAUAGGAGCUCCUGAUGCAUGGUGGGGGUUGGAAAGUUUCGGCGGUUGGGGAUGGACUCGCGGCGGAUCAGCUUGUUGGUGGGGUAGUGGCUUACCAAGGCUUUGACGGGUAGCCGGCCUGAGAGGGUGACCGGCCACAUUGGGACUGAGAUACGACCCAGACUCCUACGGGAGGCAGCAGUGGGGAAUAUUGCACAAUGGGCGGAAGCCUGAUGCAGCAACGCCGCGUGCGGGAUGACGGCCUUCGGGUUGUAAACCGCUUUCGCCUGUGACGAAGCGUGAGUGACGGUAAUGGGUAAAUAAGCACCGGCUAACUACGUG